UGGAGAGGUUCACCCACUGGAGGGGUCUGGCUGCUGGAGUCCGUGUGUCGAAGGAGUCCGUCCAGAAUCUAUCCGCUACAGAAGUUCGAUCGGAGUCCGGUUCCCGUAGAAGUCCGGAUGGGGAUCAUUUGUAGAGGAAACUCGGUCGAAGCCUACCUGCAAUAGAAGUUCGGAGGGAAUUCAUUCAUAAUAGAAGCUCAGGUGGAGGCUUACAGUAGAAAUCUGACGUGGGCCGCUCGUAGUAGAGAUUCGAAGUAGACCGCUUGUUGUGGUAGCUCAGAGUAGACCGCUUGUAG
Molecule: long non-coding RNA, 296 nt
Filed under: Elaeis guineensis (African oil palm)
Lineage: Eukaryota; Viridiplantae; Streptophyta; Magnoliopsida; Arecales; Arecaceae
Description: long non-coding RNA (EGUI_LNC074985)
Source: RNAcentral